This 1027-nucleotide ribosomal RNA is filed under the name Staphylococcus aureus. RNAcentral's name for it is "partial 23S ribosomal RNA". It matches the Rfam family "Bacterial large subunit ribosomal RNA", at positions 1603 to 2631 of the family's 2925-position model. Lineage: Bacteria; Bacillati; Bacillota; Bacilli; Caryophanales; Staphylococcaceae. The record is from RNAcentral.
CACUGCCGAGAAAAGCCUCUAGAUAGAAAAUAGGUGCCCGUACCGCAAACCGACACAGGUAGUCAAGAUGAGAAUUCUAAGGUGAGCGAGCGAACUCUCGUUAAGGAACUCGGCAAAAUGACCCCGUAACUUCGGGAGAAGGGGUGCUCUUUAGGGUUAACGCCCAGAAGAGCCGCAGUGAAUAGGCCCAAGCGACUGUUUAUCAAAAACACAGGUCUCUGCUAAACCGUAAGGUGAUGUAUAGGGGCUGACGCCUGCCCGGUGCUGGAAGGUUAAGAGGAGUGGUUAGCUUCUGCGAAGCUACGAAUCGAAGCCCCAGUAAACGGCGGCCGUAACUAUAACGGUCCUAAGGUAGCGAAAUUCCUUGUCGGGUAAGUUCCGACCCGCACGAAAGGCGUAACGAUUUGGGCACUGUCUCAACGAGAGACUCGGUGAAAUCAUAGUACCUGUGAAGAUGCAGGUUACCCGCGACAGGACGGAAAGACCCCGUGGAGCUUUACUGUAGCCUGAUAUUGAAAUUCGGCACAGCUUGUACAGGAUAGGUAGGAGCCUUUGAAACGUGAGCGCUAGCUUACGUGGAGGCGCUGGUGGGAUACUACCCUAGCUGUGUUGGCUUUCUAACCCGCACCACUUAUCGUGGUGGGAGACAGUGUCAGGCGGGCAGUUUGACUGGGGCGGUCGCCUCCUAAAAGGUAACGGAGGCGCUCAAAGGUUCCCUCAGAAUGGUUGGAAAUCAUUCAUAGAGUGUAAAGGCAUAAGGGAGCUUGACUGCGAGACCUACAAGUCGAGCAGGGUCGAAAGACGGACUUAGUGAUCCGGUGGUUCCGCAUGGAAGGGCCAUCGCUCAACGGAUAAAAGCUACCCCGGGGAUAACAGGCUUAUCUCCCCCAAGAGUUCACAUCGACGGGGAGGUUUGGCACCUCGAUGUCGGCUCAUCGCAUCCUGGGGCUGUAGUCGGUCCCAAGGGUUGGGCUGUUCGCCCAUUAAAGCGGUACGCGAGCUGGGUUCAGAACGUCGUGAGACAGUU